UACGUAGAAGACUAGUGUUAUUCAUCUUUAAUAGGUUUAAAGGGUACCUAGACGGUAUAAUUAGUCUUUAACAGGAAACGGUUAUACUAGAGUUAUAUAUGAGGAGGUGAGUAUUUGUGGAGUAGAGUUGAAAUUCUUUGAUACCAUGAAGACUGGUAAAGGCGAAAGCAACCUUUUAUCUAAUAACUGACGUUGAGGGACGAAGGCUCGGGUCGCGAACAGG
RNAcentral lists this ribosomal RNA (223 nucleotides) under uncultured bacterium. Its description in RNAcentral is "partial 16S ribosomal RNA". It matches the Rfam family "Bacterial small subunit ribosomal RNA", at positions 524 to 776 of the family's 1533-position model. The record is from RNAcentral.